Molecule: long non-coding RNA, 479 nt
Organism: Cynara cardunculus var. scolymus (artichoke)
Lineage: Eukaryota; Viridiplantae; Streptophyta; Magnoliopsida; Asterales; Asteraceae
Exons: 2
Source: RefSeq, a predicted model, not a curated record
UUAUACUUUGAUACGAUAUUAUUGUGAUGUUGAAGUUAUUUUGUUAUCGUUUCCCUUUUCAUCUCCAUAACACGUCCGUCGGCAUUUUUGAGCGUAUUCUUCACGCUCGAGCCCUAAUCAGAGCUUCAGCCACUAGAUUCGCGAGCAUCGAUGUAGUGUUUGAAACAGCCAAACCAGAACGAAAGUAGUAAGUGGGACCUUGCGCUUUGCUUACGGUACGGGUACGUACGGCUUAAAUUUGAAAUGUUGAUGUACUUGUUAGAUACUCUUACUAAAGUAGAAUCUAAUGGGGAAUUGGGGAUGAUUCUGUUAUCUUUAGGUAAAUUAGCCAUCCAAAAUAAAGUGUGUUGUGGUUGGUUUAAAAACUUGGGGGGGUGUUGGCUUUGCAGCUUGUAGAUUCUGAGUUCUGGUCUUAAAGAAGUUUGCUUUUGUCAACUUUAAUGCAAAUCUUGGGUCCAUUGAGGUUUGUGGCAUCAAAA